This 62-nucleotide small RNA is filed under the name Nostoc punctiforme PCC 73102. RNAcentral's name for it is "Nitrogen stress-induced RNA 1". It matches the Rfam family "Nitrogen stress-induced RNA 1". Lineage: Bacteria; Bacillati; Cyanobacteriota; Cyanophyceae; Nostocales; Nostocaceae. The record is from Rfam by way of RNAcentral.
CAAUAGAUGCACCCUGAUAACUUACUCCCCUGGUUGGCUAAAACCCACUGGGGGUUUUUUUC